RNAcentral lists this ribosomal RNA (304 nucleotides) under uncultured bacterium. Its description in RNAcentral is "partial 16S ribosomal RNA". It matches the Rfam family "Bacterial small subunit ribosomal RNA", at positions 465 to 769 of the family's 1533-position model. The record is from RNAcentral.
GAUAAUGACGGUACCGGCAGAAUAAGCCCCGGCUAACUACGUGCCAGCAGCCGCGGUAAUACGUAGGGUGCAAGCGUUAUUCGGAAUUACUGGGCGUAAAGCGCNCGUAGGCGGUUUUUUAAGUCAGAUGUGAAAGCCCGGGGCUCAACNCCGGAUCUGCNUUUGAUACUGGCUGGCUAGAGUGCUGUAGAGGAGAGUGGAAUUCCNNGUGUAGCGGUGAAAUGCGUAGAUAUCAGGAGGAACACCNGUGGCGAAGGCGGCUCUCUGGGCCUGUACUGACGCUGAGGNGCGAAACCUCGGGAGC